Molecule: non-coding RNA, 148 nt
Filed under: Homo sapiens (human)
Lineage: Eukaryota; Metazoa; Chordata; Mammalia; Primates; Hominidae
Source: Rfam by way of RNAcentral
GCCGGGUGUCGUGGCGGGCGCCUGUAAUCCCAGCUACUCAGGAGGCUGAGGCGGGAGAAUUGCUUGAACCCAGGAGACAGAGGUUGCAGUGAGCCGAGAUCGCGCCAUUGCACUCCAGCCUGGGCGACAGAGCAAGACUCUGUCUCAA